This 75-nucleotide transfer RNA is filed under the name Faecalibacterium prausnitzii. RNAcentral's name for it is "tRNA-Glu". It matches the Rfam family "tRNA". Rfam says of the family: Transfer RNA (tRNA) molecules are approximately 80 nucleotides in length. Their secondary structure includes four short double-helical elements and three loops (D, anti-codon, and T loops). Lineage: Bacteria; Bacillati; Bacillota; Clostridia; Eubacteriales; Oscillospiraceae. The record is from RNAcentral. RNAcentral also lists the same sequence under 1 other name.
UGGCCCGUUGGUCAAGCGGUUAAGACAGAGGCCUCUCACGCCUUUAACAUCGGUUCGAUUCCGGUACGGGUCAUC